GAAAUGCGAUAAGUAAUGUGAAUUGCAGAAUUCAGUGAAUCAUCGAAUCUUUGAACGCACAUUGCGCCCGCCAGUAUUCUGGCGGGCAUGCCUGUUCGAGCGUCAUUACAACCCUCAGGCCCCCGGGCCUGGCGUUGGGGAUCGGCGGAAGCCCCCUGCGGGCACAACGCCGUCCCCCAAGUACAGUGGCGGUCCCGCCGCAGCUUCCAUUGCGUAGUAGCUAACACCUCGCAACUGGAGAGCGGCGCGGCCACGCCGUAAAACACCCAACUUCUGAAUGUUGACCUCGAAUCAGGUAGGAAUACCCGCUGAACUUAAGC
This 320-nucleotide unclassified non-coding RNA is filed under the name plant metagenome. RNAcentral's name for it is "partial contains 5.8S ribosomal RNA, internal transcribed spacer 2, and large subunit ribosomal RNA". The stretch from base 1 to 105 matches the Rfam family "5.8S ribosomal RNA", at positions 50 to 154 of the family's 154-position model. The record is from RNAcentral.